UUAACGAUUUAUAUUUAUACUCAGACAACAUAAUUAUAGAAGAAUUUAUUAAGGCUACUGGCAGGCACUGACCAAGGGCAUGAAAGCCCCCGGCGGCCCCGAAAGGCGGGCCCGCCAAAGCAACAUGGUAUAGUAAACAAAGGGUUGGAGGUCGGGCCUCUCAAGACCCUAACUCGGUAAUGAUCCUUCCGCAGGUUCACCUACGGAAA
RNAcentral lists this unclassified non-coding RNA (209 nucleotides) under uncultured fungus. RNAcentral's name for it is "sequence contains ITS1, 5.8S rRNA gene". The record is from RNAcentral. Lineage: Eukaryota; Fungi.